Molecule: long non-coding RNA, 738 nt
Filed under: Ananas comosus (pineapple)
Lineage: Eukaryota; Viridiplantae; Streptophyta; Magnoliopsida; Poales; Bromeliaceae
Description: long non-coding RNA (ACOM_LNC010167)
Source: RNAcentral
GCUAUUCAAUUAACUCAUUUUCAGCUUUAAUAACCAGCAGGAAUCAAUGCUGAAAUCUGCAGGAAUCUACUCUAUUACUUCUCUUUUGGCAGCCAUUACAUCAUAGAACACUCCAUUCUAUAGUUUAAAACUCUUCUAAAUUAGUUAACACCCAAUCCAUCUAGUUACCUUCAUCUCCAAUCAGCGAGGAAUUUUGCUUUAAAGCUUUCUUUUCCACUCAACCUCAAAAUCUGCACUAUGCUGAAAUUUCUGCAUUAUGCGGAAAUUCUGCACUUUACUUCCUCUUUGUGCAGCCGCUACAAGCCUAGAACAAUUAGUUUUCUUGCUUAGAACUCUUAUAGAGUAACUAAUAUAACUCUAACCAGGGAUAAGCAUCAACUUACCUCAAUUCGCAGCUUCAACAAGCUGUCUUUCAGCUCCAACAGCAGGGUAUUUAUGCUGAAAUUCCGUUUAUGUUUGCUUCACAGCCCCUAUAUCACUUUAAGUAACUCUAGUACUUACAACCCCUUUAAUGUAAUUCUUAUCACUCAAACCAGGGAAGAGACAUUCAUUUAACUCCUCUGAAGCUCUCCUCUCAGGUCCUUCUCAAUUCGGCUCACCAAGAAACUCCAUCAAGUUCCCUUCUCCAAUUCGAGUGCCCAAAACUCCUCAAGGCAGCCGCUGAAACUCCAAUCAGCCCAAUUAAAGCUUCUCUAGUGCAAUUAACUCAACUCUAAUUAACAUUAGAUCACACUUACA